AUGUGGACCCUUCUUCGUCAGCGCUAUCAGCCCUCUGGUGAUUCCUUAUACCUUUCUGUGGUCCGUCAGGAGCAUGCUCUUCAACAGGGUGACUCUAAUGUUGAUGACUUCUAUGCAUAGAGUUCUGCUAUCUGGCGCCAGCUUGAUUCUCUCCGCAGUGCUGGUUGUCAUACUUGCCCCUGUUGCCUGGCUGUCCAGGCCAACUUGGAGUUUCAUCGCGUCUACGAGUUCCUGUCUCGGCUCCGUAAGGAGUUUGGGCCCCGGGGUGCUCAGUUGUUUGCUCGUGGCCGUAUUUCUCUCAUGGAGGCGCUUUCUGAGAUUCGUGCUGAGGAGACUCGCUUACGUGGUGCUGGUUUGCUGGAGGUUUCCUUUGUGCUCGCUACUCGGGCUUCUUCCACGCCACCUGCUGCACUGACCCCUUCCCGCUCGAGUGCUCAUCCGCUCUUGCCCACUCCUUCUGGAGGCUCAGGUCGCCCCCGUCCACAUUGCGACUACUGCAUUCAUAUUGAGUCCCAGUGCUACACAAAGAGGAAACACCUGCGCAAGGCGCGAUCAUCAUCUUCAGGGCCUUCGUCAUCUACCUCGACAGCUUCAGCCAUUGCUUUGACGGAGCAGGAUAUUCUGAGACUUAAGCGUCUGCUUGCGGCUUCAGGUUCUUCCUCGACGGGUAUUGCUGGUUCUAUGACUGAUGCUUCCCGCACUGAGCAACCACCCUCUACACAGUCAGGUACAUCCCCAUGA
RNAcentral lists this ribosomal RNA (741 nucleotides) under Triticum aestivum (bread wheat). RNAcentral describes it as "partial small subunit ribosomal RNA". Lineage: Eukaryota; Viridiplantae; Streptophyta; Magnoliopsida; Poales; Poaceae. The record is from RNAcentral.